GUACGGGAGGCAGCAGUGGGGAAUUUUGGACAAUGGGGGCAACCCUGAUCCAGCCAUGCCGCGUGAGUGAAGAAGGCCUUCGGGUUGUAAAGCUCUUUCAGCUGGAAAGAAAACGUACUUAUUAAUACUAGGUGCGGAUGACGGUACCAGCAGAAGAAGCACCGGCUAACUACGUGCCAGCAGCCGCGGUAAUACGUAGGGUGCGAGCGUUAAUCGGAAUUACUGGGCGUAAAGCGUGCGCAGGCGGCUUUUUAAGCCAGAUGUGAAAUCCCCGGGCUUAACCUGGGAACUGCAUUUGGAACUGGAAGGCUAGAGUGUAGCAGAGGGGGGUAGAAUUCCACGUGUAGCAGUGAAAUGCGUAGAGAUGUGGAGGAAUACCGAUGGCGAAGGCAGCCCCCUGGGCUAACACUGACGCUCAUGCACGAAAGCGUGGGGAGCAAACAGGAUUAGAUACCCUGGUAGC
RNAcentral lists this ribosomal RNA (463 nucleotides) under uncultured bacterium. Its description in RNAcentral is "bacterial SSU rRNA". It matches the Rfam family "Bacterial small subunit ribosomal RNA", at positions 339 to 794 of the family's 1533-position model. The record is from RNAcentral.